GGCUCAGGAUGAACGCUAGCGGCAGGCUUAACACAUGCAAGUCGAGGGGUAUAAGUCUUCGGAUAUAGAGACCGGCGCACGGGUGCGUAACGCGUAUGCAAUCUACCUUUUACAGAGGGAUAGCCCAGAGAAAUUUGGAUUAAUACCUCAUAGUAUUAUGAAAUGGCAUCAUUUUAUAAUUAAAGUCACAACGGUAAAAGAUGAGCAUGCGUCCCAUUAGCUAGUUGGUAAGGUAACGGCUUACCAAGGCUACGAUGGGUAGGGGUCCUGAGAGGGAGAUCCCCCACACUGGUACUGAGACACGGACCAGACUCCUACGGGAGGCAGCAGUGAGGAAUAUUGGACAAUGGGCGCAAGCCUGAUCCAGCCAUGCCGCGUGCAGGAUGACGGUCCUAUGGAUUGUAAACUGCUUUUAUACGAGAAGAAACACUGCUUCGUGAAGCAGCUUGACGGUAUCGUAAGAAUAAGGAUCGGCUAACUCCGUGCCAGCAGCCGCGGUAAUACGGAGGAUCCAAGCGUUAUCCGGAAUCAUUGGGUUUAAAGGGUCCGUAGGCGGUUUGGUAAGUCAGUGGUGAAAGCCCAUCGCUCAACGGUGGAACGGCCAUUGAUACUGCCAGACUUGAAUUAUUAGGAAGUAACUAGAAUAUGUAGUGUAGCGGUGAAAUGCUUAGAGAUUACAUGGAAUACCAAUUGCGAAGGCAGGUUACUACUAAUGGAUUGACGCUGAUGGACGAAAGCGUGGGUAGCGAACAGGAUUAGAUACCCUGGUAGUCCACGCCGUAAACGAUGGAUACUAGCUGUUGGAAGCAAUUUCAGUGGCUAAGCGAAAGUGAUA
This 835-nucleotide ribosomal RNA is filed under the name Flavobacterium sp. AKB-2008-PU5. RNAcentral's name for it is "bacterial SSU rRNA". It matches the Rfam family "Bacterial small subunit ribosomal RNA", at positions 21 to 862 of the family's 1533-position model. The record is from RNAcentral. Lineage: Bacteria; Pseudomonadati; Bacteroidota; Flavobacteriia; Flavobacteriales; Flavobacteriaceae.